GAGCCGAUGAAGGACGUGUGAGGCUGCGUUAUGCCUCGGGGAGUUGUCAACAAAGCGUUGAUCCGAGGGUGUCCGAAUGGGGAAACCUGGCCGUAGUUGUGUGCGGUUACCUUGCAGUGAAUGCAUAGCUGUUUAAGGGGGUUACGCCGGGAAGUGAAACAUCUCAGUACCGGUAGGAGAGGAAAAUAAGAAUGAUUCUGCUAGUAGCGGCGAGCG
RNAcentral lists this ribosomal RNA (216 nucleotides) under Nephroselmis pyriformis. RNAcentral describes it as "partial Bacterial large subunit ribosomal RNA". It matches the Rfam family "Bacterial large subunit ribosomal RNA", at positions 43 to 255 of the family's 2925-position model. Lineage: Eukaryota; Viridiplantae; Chlorophyta; Nephroselmidophyceae; Nephroselmidales; Nephroselmidaceae. The record is from RNAcentral.